RNAcentral lists this ribosomal RNA (1604 nucleotides) under human gut metagenome. RNAcentral's name for it is "bacterial LSU rRNA". It matches the Rfam family "Bacterial large subunit ribosomal RNA", at positions 798 to 2421 of the family's 2925-position model. The record is from RNAcentral.
GUGGUGAUGAGGUGUGGAUAGCGGAGAAAUUCCAAUCGAACUCGGAGAUAGCUGGUUCUCCUCGAAAUAGCUUUAGGGCUAGCCUCGAGCUGGAGUCUAACGGAGGUAAAGCACUGAACUGACGCGGGGCCCAAAAAGGUUACCAACUCAUAUCAAACUAAGAAUGCCGUCAAGAUACCCUCGGGAGUCAGUCUGCGUGAGAUAAGUCGCGUGGACAAAAGGGAAAGAGCCCAGACCGACAGCUAAGGUCCCAAAGUACGUGUUAAGUGGAAAAGGAUGUGGGAUUUCAUAGACAACUAGGAUGUUGGCUUAGAAGCAGCCAUACAUUUAAAGAGUGCGUAAUAGCUCACUAGUCGAGAAAACCUGCGCCGAAAAUGUAACGGGGCUAAAACACGACACCGAAGCUACGGAUUCCUUACAAAGUAAGGAGUGGUAGAGGAGCAUCCUGCAAGGACGAAGCCAAAGUGAGAGCGAUGGUGGACGAAACAGGAGAGAGAAUGCCGGAAUGAGUAGCGAGAUACAUGUGAGAAACAUGUAGGCCGAAUAUCUAAGGAUUCCUGGGUAAAGCUAAUCUUCCCAGGGUUAGUCGGGGCCUAAGGCGAGGACGAAAGUCGUAGUCGAUGGAUAACAGGUUGAUAUUCCUGUACUACACAUAAUCAGAACUGUGGGGACGCAGGAGGAUAGGGAAACCGGGGAAUGGAAAGACCCGGUCAAGCGUAAAGCUGUGGGAGAUAGGCAAAUCCGUCUCCUGUAAGUGAAACGUGAUGAGGACUGAAAAAAAGUAAGGAAGUUUCCGAAUCCACACUGCCGAGAAAAGCCGCUAUUGCGUUAUGUGUACCCGUACCGUAAACCGACACAGGUAGAUGAGGAGAAAAUCCACAGGCCGACGGGAGAAGUGUUGUUAAGGAACUCGGCAAAAUGACCCCGUAACUUCGGGAUAAGGGGAGCCUCGCAAGAGGCCGCAGAAAAGAGGCACAAGCAACUGUUUAGCAAAAACAUAGGUCUAUGCGAAACCGUAAGGUGAAGUAUAUGGGCUGACGCCUGCCCGGUGCUGGAAGGUUAAGAGGAGAGGUUAGCGCAAGCGAAGCUUUGAAUUUAAGCCCCAGUAAACGGCGGCCGUAACUAUAACGGUCCUAAGGUAGCGAAAUUCCUUGUCAGGUAAGUUCUGACCCGCACGAAAGGCGUAAUGAUUUGUGCACUGUCUCGACAACACGCCCGGUGAAAUUGAAGAACCAGUGAAGAUACUGGUUACCCGCAACAGGACGGAAAGACCCCAUGGAGCUUUACUGCAGCCUGAUACUGGGAUUCGAUGAUAUAUGUACAGGAUAGGUGGGAGGCUAAGAAGCGAGAACGCUAGUUUUCGUGGAGCCGCCGGUGGGAUACCACUCUUAUGUCAUUGAAUUUCUAACCUGCAUCCGUAAUCCGGGUGAGGGACAAUGUCAGGCGGGCAGUUUGACUGGGGCGGUCGCCUCCUAAAAGGUAACGGAGGCGCUCGAAGGUCACCUCAGAAUGAUUGGAAACCAUUCAAAGAGUGUAAAGGCAAAAGGUGGCUUGACUGCGACACCGACGGGUGGAGCAGGUACGAAAGUAGGACUUAGUGAUCC